AAAAUGACCGGCGGAAUGUAGCUUCGAUUUCGGUUGAAGUGUUAUACCUCUGGUAGAUGUGGUGAUUGGGACUGAGGAUUGCAACGAAUAUCCUUUGGGCUAUCCUCUGAUCUCUGAAAGUCGCUCGGGGGUCGAAAGCGUGCUUAUGAUCAUUCGAGUUGGCGUCAAUAGGUUAGAACGUGAUUAUAUUCGUUAAGGAUGUUGACGUAAUGGCUUUAAACGA
RNAcentral lists this ribosomal RNA (223 nucleotides) under uncultured Glomeromycotina. RNAcentral describes it as "partial 28S ribosomal RNA". Lineage: Eukaryota; Fungi; Glomeromycota. The record is from RNAcentral.